This 314-nucleotide long non-coding RNA is filed under the name Gallus gallus (chicken). RNAcentral describes it as "long non-coding RNA NONGGAT004024". The stretch from base 1 to 188 matches the Rfam family "7SK RNA". From Rfam's summary of the family: 7SK was discovered as an abundant small nuclear RNA in the mid-70s but a possible function has only recently been suggested. Two independent studies have found that 7SK RNA binds the CDK9/cyclin T complex (known as elongation factor P-TEFb). Lineage: Eukaryota; Metazoa; Chordata; Aves; Galliformes; Phasianidae. The record is from RNAcentral.
GGAUGUAAGGGCGAUCUGGCUGUGACAUCUGUCACCCCAUUGAUCGCCAGGGUUGCUUCGGCUGAUCUGGCUGGCUAGGCAGGUGUCCCCUUCCUCCCUCACUUCUCCAUGUGCCUCCCUCCCGAAGCUGCGUGCUCAGUUGAAGAGGACGACCUUCUCCGAUAGAGAUGGUACUGUUCUUAUUAAAUAUGGAAGCCAGCUUGCAAGUGCAGCAGGUAUGCAUAGCCUGUUCAAUCCUUUUCUGCUUUUAGAUUUUCUGUUAUUAAGAAAAGGCUACAAAAGGUACUAGAAGAUGCCACCUCUUGUGGCUGUCU